This 878-nucleotide long non-coding RNA is filed under the name Mytilus galloprovincialis (Mediterranean mussel). Lineage: Eukaryota; Metazoa; Mollusca; Bivalvia; Mytilida; Mytilidae. The record is from RNAcentral.
GUUUUUUUUAGCUCACCUGGCCCGAAGGGCCAAGUGAGCUCUUCUCAUUACUUGGCGUCCGUCGUCGUCGUUAACUUUUUACAUUUUGAACUUCUUCUAGAGAACCACUGAAUGGAAUGGAACCAAACAUGGCUUGAAUGUUCCUUAUGAGGUUCUGACCAAGUGUUGUUACUUUGUAGCCGAUCCAUCAUCCAAGAUGGCCGCCAGCAGGGGACUAAGUUUAACAUAGGAUCUAUGGGAAAUGCAUACAAAUGAUUUCUUUUAGAGAACCACUGAAUGGAAUGAAACCAAACAUGGCAUGAAUGUUUCUUAUGAGGUGCUGACCAAGUGUUGUUACUUUGUAGCCGAUCCAUCAUCCAAGACGGCCACCAGGGGGGGGACUUAGUUUAAUAUAGGACCCUAUGGGAAAUAUAUACAAAUGUCUUCUUUUAGAGAACCACUGAAUGGAAUGAAACCAAACAUGGCAUGAAUGUUCCUUAUAAGGUGUUGACCAAGUGUUGUUACUUUGUAGCAGAUCCAUCAUUCAAGAUGGCUGCCAGCAGGGGACAUAGUUUAACAUAGGACCCUACAGGAAAUAUUUCCAAAUGUCUUCUUUUAGAGAACCACUAAAUGGCAUGAAAACAAACAUGGCAUGAAUAUUCUUUAUGAGAUGCUGACCAAGUGUUGUUACUUUGUAGCCAAUCCAUCAUCAAAGAUGGCCGCCAGCAUGGGGACUUAGUUUAACAUAGGACCCUAUGGAAAUUAUAUACAAAUGUCUUCUUUUAAAGAACCACUGAAUGGAAUGGAACCAAACAUGGCAUGAAUGUUCCUUAUGAGGUGCUGACCAAGUGUUGUUACUUUGUAGCCGAUCCAUCAUCCAAGAUGGCCGCCAGCAGGGG